CCUACGGGCGGCAGCAGUGGGGGAUAUUGCACAAUGGGGGGAACCCUGAUGCAGCGACGCCGCGUGGGUGAAGGAGCGUUUCGGCGCGUAAAGCCCUAUCGGCAGGGAAGAAGGAGGACGGUACCUGACUAAGAAGCCCCGGCUAACUACGUACCAGCAGCCGCGGUAAUAAGUAGGGGGCAAGCGUUAACCGGAUUUACUGGGUGUAACGGGGGCGCAGGCGGCAGCGCAAGCCAGGAGUGAAAGCCCGGGGCCCAACCCCGGGACUGCUGUUGGAACUGGGAGGCUGGAGUGCAGGAGGGGUAGGCGGAAUUCCUGGUGUAGCGGUGAAAUGCGUAGAUAUCGGGAGGAACACCGGUUGCGAAGGCGGCAUGCUGGACUGCGACUGACGUUGAGGCCCGAAAGCGUGGGGAGCAAACAGGAUUAGAUACCCCAGUAGUC
Molecule: ribosomal RNA, 441 nt
Filed under: uncultured bacterium
Lineage: Bacteria
Description: partial 16S ribosomal RNA
Rfam family: Bacterial small subunit ribosomal RNA
Source: RNAcentral